This 1334-nucleotide ribosomal RNA is filed under the name metagenome. RNAcentral describes it as "bacterial SSU rRNA". It matches the Rfam family "Bacterial small subunit ribosomal RNA", at positions 133 to 1498 of the family's 1533-position model. The record is from RNAcentral.
UAGGUUGGGGACAACAGUUGGAAACGACUGCUAAUACCCGAUGUGCCGGAAGGUAAAAGAUUUAUUGCCUGGAGAGGAGCUCGCGUCUGAUUAGCUAGUUGGUGGGGUAAAAGCCUACCAAGGCAGCGAUCAGUAGCUGGUCUGAGAGGAUGAGCAGCCACACUGGGACUGAGACACGGCCCAGACUCCUACGGGAGGCAGCAGUGGGGAAUUUUCCGCAAUGGGCGAAAGCCUGACGGAGCAAUACCGCGUGAGGGAGGAAGGCCUUUGGGUUGUAAACCUCUUUUCUCAGGGAAGAAGAUCUGACGGUACCUGAGGAAUAAGCAUCGGCUAACUCCGUGCCAGCAGCCGCGGUAAUACGGAGGAUGCAAGCGUUAUCCGGAAUCAUUGGGCGUAAAGCGUCCGCAGGUGGUUUUUCAAGUCUGCUGUUAAAGACUGGAGCUCAACUCCGGAAAGGCAGUGGAAACUGAGAAACUAGAGUUCGGUAGGGGUAGCGGGAAUUCCCAGUGUAGCGGUGAAAUGCGUAGAUAUUGGGAAGAACAUCGGUGGCGAAGGCGCGCUACUGGACCGAAACUGACACUCAGGGACGAAAGCUAGGGGAGCGAAAGGGAUUAGAUACCCCUGUAGUCCUAGCUGUAAACGAUGGAAACUAGGUGUGGCUUGUAUCGACCCGAGCCGUGCCGUAGCUAACGCGUUAAGUUUCCCGCCUGGGGAGUACGCACGCAAGUGUGAAACUCAAAGGAAUUGACGGGGGCCCGCACAAGCGGUGGAGUAUGUGGUUUAAUUCGAUGCAACGCGAAGAACCUUACCAGGGCUUGACAUGUCGCGAAUCUCCUUGAAAGGGGAGAGUGCCUUCGGGAGCGCGAACACAGUUGGUGCAUGGCUGUCGUCAGCUCGUGUCGUGAGAUGUUGGGUUAAGUCCCGCAACGAGCGCAACCCUCGUCUUUAGUUGCCAGCAUUAAGGUGGGCACUUUAGAGAGACUGCCGGUGACAAACCGGAGAAAGGUGGGGAUGACGUCAAGUCAGCAUGCCCCUUACGCCCUGGGCUACACACGUACUACAAUGGUUGGGACAAAGGGCAGCGACCCCGCGAGGGAAAGCGAAUCUCAUCAAACCCAGCCUCAGUUCAGAUUGCAGGCUGCAACUCGCCUGCAUGAAGGAGGAAUCGCUAGUAAUCGCAGGUCAGCAUACUGCGGUGAAUUCGUUCCCGGACCUUGUACACACCGCCCGUCACACCAUGGAAGCUGGUCACGCCCGAAGUAGUUACCCUAACCUUUCGGGGGGGGGGACUCCUAAGGCAGGGCUAGUGACUGGGGUGAAGUCGUAACAAGGUA